This 429-nucleotide ribosomal RNA is filed under the name uncultured bacterium. RNAcentral's name for it is "bacterial SSU rRNA". It matches the Rfam family "Bacterial small subunit ribosomal RNA", at positions 355 to 776 of the family's 1533-position model. The record is from RNAcentral.
CUAAGAAUAUUCCGCAAUGGACGAAAGUCUGACGGAGCGACGCCGCGUGGAUGAUGAAGGCCGUGAGGUUGUAAAAUCCUUUUGUCGGGGAAGAAUAAGCGUGGGAGGGAAUGCCCGCGUGAUGACAUGAACCGGCGAAUAAGCCCCGGCUAACUACGUGCCAGCAGCCGCGGUAACACGUAGGGGGCGAGCGUUGUUCGGAAUUACUGGGCGUAAAGGGCAUGUAGGCGGUUCCGUAAGCCUGACGUGAAAGGCUAUGGCUCAACCAUGGCAUUGCGUUGGGAACUGCGGGACUUGAGUCACGGAGAGGGAGCUGGAAUUCCAGGUGUAGGGGUGAAAUCUGUAGAUAUCUGGAAGAACACCAGUGGCGAAGGCGAGCUCCUGGCCGAUGACUGACGCUGAGGUGCGAAAGUGUGGGGAUCAAACAGG